GACGAACGCUGGCGGCGUGCUUAACACAUGCAAGUCGAACGGAAAGGCCCAGCUUGCUGGGUACUCGAGUGGCGAACGGUGAGUAACACGUGGGUGAUCUGCCCCAAACUUCGGGAUAAGCCUGGGAAACUGGGUCUAAUACCGGAUAUGACCUGCUCCUGCAUGGGGGUUGUGGAAAGCUUUUGCGGUUUGGAUGGGCCCGCGGCCUAUCAGCUUGUUGGUGGGGUAAUGGCCUACCAAGGCGACGACGGGUAGCCGACCUGAGAGGGUGUUCGGCCACACUGGGACUGAGACACGGCCCAGACUCCUACGGGAGGCAGCAGUGGGGAAUAUUGCACAAUGGGCGCAAGCCUGAUGCAGCACGCCGCGUGAGGGAUGACGG
RNAcentral lists this ribosomal RNA (382 nucleotides) under uncultured bacterium. RNAcentral's name for it is "bacterial SSU rRNA". It matches the Rfam family "Bacterial small subunit ribosomal RNA", at positions 28 to 414 of the family's 1533-position model. The record is from RNAcentral.